GUUACUUCGGUACAUCGGUGACAGGUGGUGCAUGGUUGUCGUCAGCUCGUGUCGUGAGAUGUUGGGUUAAGUCCCGCAACGAGCGCAACCCCUAUUGUUAGUUGCCAUCAUUCAGUUGGGCACUCUAGCGAGACUGCCGGUAAUAAACCGGAGGAAGGUGGGGAUGGCGUCAAAUCAUCAUGCCCCUUAUGACCUGGGCUACACACGUGCUACAAUGGUUGGUACAACGAGUUGCGAGUCGGUGACGGCGAGCUAAUCUCUUAAAGCCAAUCUCAGUUCGGAUUGUAGGCUGCAACUCGCCUACAUGAAGUCGGAAUCGCUAGUAAUCGCGGAUCAGCACGCCGCGGUGAAUACGUUCCCGGGCCUU
RNAcentral lists this ribosomal RNA (367 nucleotides) under uncultured Streptococcus sp. Its description in RNAcentral is "bacterial SSU rRNA". It matches the Rfam family "Bacterial small subunit ribosomal RNA", at positions 1014 to 1382 of the family's 1533-position model. The record is from RNAcentral. Lineage: Bacteria; Bacillati; Bacillota; Bacilli; Lactobacillales; Streptococcaceae.